RNAcentral lists this transfer RNA (85 nucleotides) under Felis catus (domestic cat). It matches the Rfam family "tRNA". Rfam says of the family: Transfer RNA (tRNA) molecules are approximately 80 nucleotides in length. The record is from Rfam by way of RNAcentral. Lineage: Eukaryota; Metazoa; Chordata; Mammalia; Carnivora; Felidae.
GCCUGGGUGGCUCAGUCGGUUGAGCGUUCGACUUCGGCUCGGGUCAUGAUCUCGCGGUUUGUGGGUUCGAGCCCCAUGUCGGGCU